UACGUAGGGUGCAAGCGUUGUCCGGAAUUAUUGGGCGUAAAGAGCGUGUAGGCGGCCCGAUUAGUCCGCUGUGAAAGUCCAGGGCUCAACCCUGGAAUGCCGGUGGAUACUGUCGGGCUAGAGUCCGGAAGGGGCGAGUGGAAUUCCUGGUGUAGCGGUGAAAUGCGUAGAUAUCUGAAGGAACACCAGUGGCGAAAGCGGCUUCCUGGUCCAGCACCGACGUUCAGGCACGAAAGCGUGGGGAGCAAACAGG
This 253-nucleotide ribosomal RNA is filed under the name uncultured bacterium. Its description in RNAcentral is "partial 16S ribosomal RNA". It matches the Rfam family "Bacterial small subunit ribosomal RNA", at positions 524 to 776 of the family's 1533-position model. The record is from RNAcentral.